This 86-nucleotide transfer RNA is filed under the name Alphaproteobacteria bacterium. RNAcentral describes it as "tRNA-Tyr". It matches the Rfam family "tRNA". Rfam says of the family: Transfer RNA (tRNA) molecules are approximately 80 nucleotides in length. Their secondary structure includes four short double-helical elements and three loops (D, anti-codon, and T loops). Further hydrogen bonds mediate the characteristic L-shaped molecular structure. tRNAs have two regions of fundamental functional importance: the anti-codon, which is responsible for specific mRNA codon recognition, and the 3' end, to which the tRNAs corresponding amino acid is attached (by aminoacyl-tRNA synthetases). tRNAs cope with the degeneracy of the genetic code in two manners: having more than one tRNA (with a specific anti-codon) for a particular amino acid; and 'wobble' base-pairing, i.e. permitting non-standard base-pairing at the 3rd anti-codon position. The record is from RNAcentral. Lineage: Bacteria; Pseudomonadati; Pseudomonadota; Alphaproteobacteria.
GGAAAGGUGGGUGAGUGGUUAAAGCCAACAGACUGUAAAUCUGUCCUCUUAUGAGUUCGCUGGUUCGAAUCCAGCCCUUUCCACCA